This 731-nucleotide long non-coding RNA is filed under the name Pongo abelii (Sumatran orangutan). Its description in RNAcentral is "lincRNA". Lineage: Eukaryota; Metazoa; Chordata; Mammalia; Primates; Hominidae. The record is from RNAcentral.
GGCAGGAGCAGAUUCCAAAGGCACAGGAAGAAGCUUGCAGGUUUCCUUAACGACAACAAAAAAGGGAGUAAUCCUACCUACUGUAAGAGUCAUGACUCUUGAUUGCAGCUGACAGAAGCUCAUGACAGCCUGGUUUAGAUAAAAGGGGAAAGGACGACUGGAAGAAUCUUGGAGUUGGGAAUAUGGCACAUAAUUGAAGGAAGAGCAAUAAAACUAUAAUUCUUCCCGUGGAGACUGGAGUUUCCAGGAUGUGAAAAUUACCUCUGCUUGGGUGAGCUAUUCCAAGCAGCUGGGAUACCUGUGUCACUCCUGCUGUCUGCCAGUGACUGCCCAGCACUUGUAUCUCUGCUUGAGGCCUGCUGCCAUGUGGCUGGUCCUCCUCCUCCUGCCGUGACUGAGCCCCGGGAUGAAGACAGGCAGCUGCUCCCAACCCCAGCAACUUUGCUAUCUUAGAACGGAUCACCAGUGAAAGAGGGGAAGUUGCUACUGUGAUGAAUUCUGCCAUGUGGUACCAGACUGCUGCCCAGACCACAGUGUCCUCUGCAACCCUGGUAACUCACAUACAGGCCUGAUUCCACCUACAGCAAAGCUGGAUGCUAUGGUUGGCAGAGGCAAGCCCCUUGCCUGCACUUCAGGCCAAAGCCGGGAUGUGGCCUAGAUGGUUCCUAAGCUUCUCAGAUGACCAAGAUGGUGCUGCCGAUGGUGUUGAGGACGGAGAACCCACCAAGCCC